This 306-nucleotide unclassified non-coding RNA is filed under the name plant metagenome. RNAcentral's name for it is "partial contains 5.8S ribosomal RNA, internal transcribed spacer 2, and large subunit ribosomal RNA". The stretch from base 1 to 101 matches the Rfam family "5.8S ribosomal RNA", at positions 50 to 154 of the family's 154-position model. The record is from RNAcentral.
AAAAUACGAAAAGUAAUAUGAAUUGCAGAAACGAAUCAUCGAAUCUUUGAACGCACAUUGCGCCCCUUGGUAUUCCAUGGGGCAUGCCUGUUCGAGCGUCAUUUGUACCCUCAAGCUCUGCUUGGUGUUGGGUGUUUGUCCCCGUCUCCGCGCGUGGACUCGCCCCAAAGUGAUUGGCAGCCGGCGUACUGGUCCCGGAGCGCAGCACAUGUCGCGCAAACGAGUGCCUUGGUACGGCGGCGUCCAUAAGCCCCUCUCUCACGCUCUUGACCUCGGAUCAGGUAGGGAUACCCGCUGAACUUAAGC